CUGAGAGAUGGGGGCCCCUGAAGGAGGAAAAAGGGGCAAGACUAUCAUCUUGUGUCCACUUGUACUUGGUUCCCUCAACCUCUCUCCACUUCAUCCUGGACAGAUGACACCCACGGAGAAGGCCAUGCUGAUCUUCAGGAUUUUAGGCUUACAGUGCCCUCAAGAACCUUACAUCUGGACCACCAGAAAGAACCCCGAGUGCUUGUGACUGAGGAUGGAGUGGGGCAAGGUAGAAAUGUGAAGGAUGGUUUCCAACAACAUGCCCCCACCAGCCCAGGAUUCCUUCUGGUAGGCCAGAGCUGGAUGGACUGUUCACUCUUUUAUCACAAACUAGAUCUUCACUAGGAGAAAAAGUUAGAACAGGUCACUUACUCCCAGCCCAGGUCCAUGCAGCCUAAAAAUUCUGUUAAAGCAAAAAAGGAAAAUUGGAGGAUAAAAGGAAGAAAUAAAAGGAAUAAAGAGCAGGAGAGAGAGACUCAAUUUCAGAGUGAUCACACUGGAUACAGGUCAAGGUUCAAAAUACUAAAACUGUUUUUAAUGUUCCACUAAGUAGCAGCCUCUCAGUGCCUCUGACAAGUGAUUUAAGACAAGUGGUCUGCUCCCAAGGGGGCUCAUGAAUCUCCAUGCAUGACGGUUAGAUCGAGAGAGUCUGGAGUCACACAGUUGGAAAGGUGGCAAUGCAAAGGUCAGAAAUACAAGGGAGGAGUCCAUCCAUCAACCCUGACAGGCGGGCAUGCCCAGGACGGCAGAAGGGACAGGAGCCAUCUGGUAGCUUUGCUUGCAAGACCAGAUUAAGAAAGCACUAGCCCAGAAACCACAAAGGAGAAGACGGAGCUGUAUUUCCGGAGGAAAAAGCAAAGACUUCUACCCAAAGCUGAGAAUAAUCAUCCCCUCUGCUCCACCUACUCCCCGAGAGAAUCAAGCUCACUCAAAAUGCCACCCACAGACUCAAGCCUGAAGAACAGAGCUGAAAACCUGGCACAGCACCUCUGAAAAAUUGUUCAGCCCUGACCCCGGCCAAUGGAUGUGGAAAUCUCAUCUGUGGUCAAAAUCACACUCACAGAUCAGGCCACAGAUGCAAAUCCAUUUUCUGCCAUGGUAUCCACAGACCUCAUCUACAGCUUUCUGAUGACUGGCUUUCAUUCUAACUGAAAGGCCAACAAUAAGAUCCUGAUGGAAUUUUUCCUUAACACUAAAAGCACAAAGGGGCACCUGGGUGGCUCAGUCAGUUAAGUGCCUAACUUCGGCUCAGGUCAUGAUCUCACAGUUCGUGGGUGCAAGCCCCAUGUGGGGCUCUCUGCUGUCAGUGCACAGCCUGCUUCAGAUCCUCUGCCCUUGCCCCUCUCUAAAGUAAGUAAACCUUAAAAAAACGCACAAAUAAAUAAAAACAAACAGCAAACACAAUGUCAGACUCUAAUUUCACAGGAUGCCAUGUCAACCCGAGGCCUAUCCCAGGACCCGUAAGUGCUUUGCCCAGCAAGGGGCUAGAGUGCUCCAAAUCACAUCUGCAUUUCCCAAGAGCAGGCCUCAGAUGCUCUCAAAAUCUGGGAAGGGAAGCCAGUCCUGCUGCACAAAUGGUGGUUUGUUACGGAACAGGCCUACGCCUGUUGUCCUGUGAGCUAUUUUUGAAAAAGAGGCAAGAUGAGUAAGUUGAAUUAGAAUCUUUCAAAGCAGAAACUACUUUCCAGGACCCAGAUAUUUUCAGAAAUGUUCCAUUAACUAUUUCAAGGCACAAAAGAUCAUUUAGCAAAUCACCCUUUACUGUACUUAAAGGUUAAAAAGAUAACAAAGGCAAAGGCUCCUUUAGUGCAUGAAUUAUAAUCCUAAAGACUUAAG
Neofelis nebulosa (Clouded leopard) is the source of this 1836-nucleotide long non-coding RNA. RefSeq lists it as uncharacterized. The record is from RefSeq and is a predicted model, not a curated record. NCBI's taxonomy places the organism in Eukaryota, Metazoa, Chordata, Mammalia, Carnivora, Felidae. The transcript is spliced from 3 exons.